RNAcentral lists this microRNA precursor (127 nucleotides) under Oryza sativa Japonica Group (Japanese rice). RNAcentral's name for it is "mir-166 microRNA precursor". Lineage: Eukaryota; Viridiplantae; Streptophyta; Magnoliopsida; Poales; Poaceae. The record is from RNAcentral.
AUUGUGUCACAUUUUAUUUAAGUCAAAUUUGACAAAAUGAUUCAAACUUGUCAAAUUAAUGACAAAUCUGUCAAACUUGAGCAAAAAUUAUUACAAAUAUUUCAACAUUCUUGAAUAUAUACACAGU